Molecule: small RNA, 785 nt
Filed under: Gymnopilus suberis
Lineage: Eukaryota; Fungi; Basidiomycota; Agaricomycetes; Agaricales; Galerinaceae
Description: eukaryotic LSU rRNA
Rfam family: 5.8S ribosomal RNA (bases 285-438)
Source: RNAcentral
AGUAAAAGUCGUAACAAGGUUUCCGUAGGUGAACCUGCGGAAGGAUCAUUAUUGAAUAAACUUGAUGUGGUUGAGCUGACUCUUUCGGGAGUAUGUGCUCGCUCGUCAUCUUUAUCUUUCCACCUGUGCACUUUUUGUAGAUUUGGAUGUAACUGUCCGAGGCAACUCGGUUGGGAGGAAUGCUAUCUUUGAUGGCUUUCCUUGUAUGUCCAAGUCUAUGUCUUCAUAUACUCCAAGUAUGUAACAGAAUGUAUCACUGGGCCUUGUGCCUAUAAACUAUAUACAACUUUCAGCAACGGAUCUCUUGGCUCUCGCAUCGAUGAAGAACGCAGCGAAAUGCGAUAAGUAAUGUGAAUUGCAGAAUUCAGUGAAUCAUCGAAUCUUUGAACGCACCUUGCGCCCCUUGGUAUUCCGAGGGGCAUGCCUGUUUGAGUGUCAUUAAAUUCUCAACCUUACUAGCUUUUGCGAAGUAAUGGCUUGGAYUUGGGGGUCUUUUGCYGGUUUCGAAAGAGAUCKGCUCCCCUUAAAUGUAUUAGCCGGUGCCCCGCGUGGACUGUCUAUUGGUGUGAUAAUUAUCUACGCCGUUAGAUGUCUGCUAUUAAAUGGGAUGUGCUGCUUCUAAUCGUCCUCAGGACAAUUAUUGACCAUUUGACCUCAAAUCAGGUAGGACUACCCGCUGAACUUAAGCAUAUCAAUAAGCGGAGGAAAAGAAACUAACAAGGAUUCCCCUAGUAACUGCGAGUGAAGCGGGAAAAGCUCAAAUUUAAAAGCUGGCAGUCUUUGAU